UAAUACGAAGGGACCUAGCGUAGUUCGGAAUUACUGGGCUUAAAGAGUUCGUAGGUGGUUAAAAAAGUUGGUGGUGAAAUCCCAGAGCUUAACUCUGGAACUGCCAUCAAAACUUUUUAGCUAGAGUAUGAUAGAGGAAAGCAGAAUUUCUAGUGUAGAGGUGAAAUUCGUAGAUAUUAGAAAGAAUACCAAUUGCGAGGGCAGCUUUCUGGAUCAUUACUGACACUGAGGAACGAAAGCAUGGGUAGCGAAGAGGAUUAGAUACCCUCGUAGUCCAUGCCGUAAACGAUGUGUGUUAGAUGUUGGAAAUUUAUUUUCAGUAUCGCAGCGAAAGCAAUAAACACACCGCCUGGGGAGUACGACCGCAAGGUUA
Molecule: ribosomal RNA, 373 nt
Filed under: uncultured Alphaproteobacteria bacterium
Lineage: Bacteria; Pseudomonadati; Pseudomonadota; Alphaproteobacteria
Description: bacterial SSU rRNA
Rfam family: Bacterial small subunit ribosomal RNA
Source: RNAcentral